RNAcentral lists this ribosomal RNA (776 nucleotides) under uncultured Neocallimastigales. RNAcentral describes it as "partial large subunit ribosomal RNA". It matches the Rfam family "Eukaryotic large subunit ribosomal RNA", at positions 23 to 644 of the family's 3401-position model. The record is from RNAcentral. Lineage: Eukaryota; Fungi; Neocallimastigomycota; Neocallimastigomycetes; Neocallimastigales.
AGAGAGAGACAUGCGCGCAUAUCAAUAAGCGGAGGAAAAGAAACUAACAAGGAUUCCCUUAGUAACGGCGAGUGAAGCGGGAAGAGCUCAAAUUUGAAAUCUUCAAGGUUCUACCUUGACGAAUUGUAGUUUAUAGAAGCGUUUUCUGUUAGUGGAGUGGCAAAAGUUCUUUGGAAUAGGACAUCAUAGAGGGUGAGAAUCCCGUAUUUGGUCAUUCCUCCUAGCGUUGUGAUACACUUUCAACGAGUCGGAUUGUUUGGGAAUGCAGUCCAAAAUGGGUGGUAAAUUUCAUCUAAAGCUAAAUAUUGGCGAGAGACCGAUAGCGAACAAGUACCGUGAGGGAAAGAUGAAAAGAACUUUGAAAGAGAGAGUUAAACAGUACGUGAAAUUGUCAAAAGGGAAGCGUUUGACACCAGUGUUGUUUUUCCGAAAAUCAAUUACGAAUGUUUUGUUUUUGAGGAGUUAUGACUUCAUCGGCUUGCUCCUUUCUUUACGAAACUUUCUUAAUGCACUUUUCGGUUAACAAGUCAACAUCAAUUUCUUUUGUUGUAAAAGGGUAUGAGGAAGGUGGCUUUCUUUUCGGAGAAAGUGUUUAUAGCCUUGUGCCUCUGCAAUCGGAGAGAUUGAGGUCUGCAGCGUAGAUCCUUCGGGGUUAGAUACAGUUUGUGCUAAGUUAUAGCUUUUCAUAGACAACUUGUUGACUAUGUUUAGUCUUGUAGCUUACUCGCUUAUGCUAUUUUACCUACGCUUAGGAUGUUGAUAGUCACAGCGUGUAC